Siniperca chuatsi (mandarin fish) is the source of this 1933-nucleotide long non-coding RNA. RefSeq lists it as uncharacterized. The transcript is spliced from 3 exons. Lineage: Eukaryota; Metazoa; Chordata; Actinopteri; Centrarchiformes; Sinipercidae. The record is from RefSeq and is a predicted model, not a curated record.
CCUGUCGUAAUUACCACGCAUCCUACAAUAAGCGUAAACACGGGUCGUAAUAAGCUGCUUGUGUAAACGAGCUAUAUAGACGUUGGUGAGGACAGUCUGGCCUGUCUGUAACAGACAGGCAGGGAAGAGAGGGAAAAAGAGACAGAAGAGGACACACACAUGCAUUGACAUAUGCUUUAAUCCAUCCAGACCACAGAGGGAGGAGAAGAGUUCAAAGAUACAUCUGCCUCUCAUUCAGACAAGAGAGAGUAGGACCUGCACUGCAUUAUCAUCCCUGACAUUAAGAACUUAAUGUUUUUUCCAUAUUGCAAGUCUUAUUAUUCUGUUAUUGUGACAAACUAGAAAUGUAUGAAGUACAAGAAACUGACAGGUCAACUGCCUGUGAACUCCCCUACAGGAGUGGAGGUCAUGUGACACAGGAGUAGCUGAGGAGAAAACACUUUAGAGAAAACUUAAGAGCUUGAAAGGCUAGAAAAGAGUCUGACUGCUUCACUGACCUGGUGCCUUUGACCUCUUUGCUUUUAAAGAAGAAUACAACUUUGAAGCAGAGCUGAUGCCAAAUGACAGCUCAGUCUGUAUUGGUGACCACUGAUGGAACGUGCAAAAUACAGAGCCUACGGCUAGAACAAAGCCAGAUGUAAAACAGUUUUGCAUCUGUUUACGAAGCCAGCCUUGUAUUCAUUGCUGAUGAAACAACUCUGUAAAUGUUCAUUCUCCCUUUCUCUCUUCCUUUCUUUCAUCUCUCUUUUCACCUCUUUCUUGUUGGAUGUUUUUUUUAUUGUUACUCUAUCAGGAAAACAGUGACUGCAUGAUAUCACCUUUCUUUGUUUACUAAACAUGUAAUAGUGGCUUGUUAAUUUAUUAACACUCCCUUUGCUUUUUGAUGGUGGAAAAAUAUAUCACUGUUUGGAAAAUCUGCCUGUAAAUGUGUAUAGUACAUAUAGUAUAUUAAAAAAAUAAGACAGGAUAAGAAAAAUGUUCUGCCUUUACUAAAAUGCAGCACAUCCACAUUUACUGUUUUAAGUAUUGCUGCAGAUUACCACAUGUACCCCAAAAUAAAUAUUCUACAUUGAAGCAUUUGUUAGAAAACUAGCUUUUAGAUUAAGGAAAUUAAGAUAAUAGGAUAGAGCAGAAAUGUCAAAUUAUGCAGCUAUGAUCCAAUAUGGCCCUGGAUGUGUGGUUUUAUGUGAUCAUAUGUGUCGCUUUUAACCAUCUAAAUCCUGUUAGUGAUCAGACAACUAUAGUUCUCAAAGUGACCCAGGCUUAUGAUCAUGGGAUUUCUGCCUGUAAUCACAGUGCCACAACAUUAGGUUGUGACUCCACAUUGUAUAUCAGUUGACAUCAUAUAAAUCAGAGUAAUAACAGGACUCUUAAAUGCUAUUAUGUUUAAAAUAAUCAUCUGGAAGAAGUUUUAGCAAGUGGUUUUAGCAACUUUCUUCAGUUCGCAGCUGGGUCGAGGCCUCUGUCCUCUGAAGCAUGCAGCAGAUAACGAAGCUCUGGCAUCCACAUUCUGACAUGCAGGACUUGCAAAUGUGAAGCUGGAGGGAAAAGAUGGAAAGGAAGGUGCCACUGGCUAUUUGUUUUUGUUGAAGUCAGCCUCCAGAUGGGGUCCUUGUAUGAUUACCAUAUGGGCCCACAAUAAUUAAUCAGAUGUUGCUAGAGUUGGAUGCCUGUGGAGCACAAAUACCACCUGCCAGCAGCAUACACUGAUCAUGCUGUCAUGUGAGGAAGCAUGUUGGUUUUCAUAAAAGAUCUUUUUUUUGUGUAAUUCUUUCCUUACUUUAAGAUGUGAAAAUUCCACUUCAAAGUGACAAUAAAACCUGAGUGAACGCGGGACUUACUUUUUGAAAAUGUCAAGAAAAUUCACAGCUGCGAACAAAUGAGAAAUGAAAAUGUUCACACUCUGCUCUGUGAGGCUGUAAAAAGCAUUGCU